RNAcentral lists this ribosomal RNA (465 nucleotides) under Vreelandella stevensii. RNAcentral describes it as "partial 16S ribosomal RNA". It matches the Rfam family "Bacterial small subunit ribosomal RNA", at positions 338 to 795 of the family's 1533-position model. The record is from RNAcentral. Lineage: Bacteria; Pseudomonadati; Pseudomonadota; Gammaproteobacteria; Oceanospirillales; Halomonadaceae.
CCUACGUGUGGCUGCAGUGGGGAAUCUUGGACAAUGGGCGAAAGCCUGAUCCAGCCAUGCCGCGUGUGUGAAGAAGGCCUUCGGGUUGUAAAGCACUUUCAGUGGGGAAGAAAGCCUUGGGGCUAAUACCCUCGAGGAAGGACAUCACCCACAGAAGAAGCACCGGCUAACUCCGUGCCAGCAGCCGCGGUAAUACGGAGGGUGCGAGCGUUAAUCGGAAUUACUGGGCGUAAAGCGCGCGUAGGCGGUCUGAUAAGCCGGUUGUGAAAGCCCCGGGCUCAACCUGGGAACGGCAUCCGGAACUGUCAGGCUAGAGGGCAGGAGAGGAAGGUAGAAUUCCCGGUGGAGCGGUGAAAUGCGUAGAGAUCGGGAGGAAUACCAGUGGCGAAGGCGGCCUUCUGGACUGACACUGACGCUGAGGUGCGAAAGCGUGGGUAGCAAACAGGAUUAGAUACCCCUGUAGUC